AUACUUUUGUAUAUUGGGUAGGGGAGCGUUCUGUAAGCGGUUGAAGGUGUGUGGUAACGCAUGCUGGACGUAUCAGAAGUGCGAAUGCUGACAUGAGUAACGAUAAAGGGGGUGAAAAACCUCCUCGCCGGAAGACCAAGGGUUCCUGUCCAACGUUAAUCGGGGCAGGGUAAGUCGACCCCUAAGGCGAGGCCGAAAGGCGUAGUCGAUGGGAAACGGGUUAAUAUUCCCGUACUUCUUACAAUUGCGAUGGGGGGACGGAGAAGGCUAGGUGGGCCUGGCGACGGUUGUCCAGGUUCAAGUGCGUAGGCUGAGAGAUUAGGUAAAUCCGGUU
RNAcentral lists this ribosomal RNA (334 nucleotides) under Vibrio parahaemolyticus. Its description in RNAcentral is "partial 23S ribosomal RNA". It matches the Rfam family "Bacterial large subunit ribosomal RNA", at positions 1210 to 1547 of the family's 2925-position model. Lineage: Bacteria; Pseudomonadati; Pseudomonadota; Gammaproteobacteria; Vibrionales; Vibrionaceae. The record is from RNAcentral.